GGGCGCGCCUAACACAUGCAAGUCGAACGGAGCUUAAAGAGCUUGCUUUUUAAGCUUAGUGGCGAACGGGUGAGUAACGCGUGAGUAACCUGCCCUGGAGUGGGGGACAACAGUUGGAAACGACUGCUAAUACCGCAUAAGCCCACGGAUCCGCAUGGAUCUGCGGGAAAAGGAUUUAUUCGCUUCAGGAUGGACUCGCGUCCAAUUAGCUAGUUGGUGAGGUAACGGCCCACCAAGGCGACGAUUGGUAGCCGGACUGAGAGGUUGAACGGCCACAUUGGGACUGAGACACGGCCCAGACUCCUACGGGAGGCAGCAGUGGGGGAUAUUGCACAAUGGGGGAAACCCUGAUGCAGCGACGCCGCGUGGAGGAAGAAGGUUUUCGGAUUGUAAACUCCUGUCGUUAGGGACGAUAAUGACGGUACCUAACAAGAAAGCACCGGCUAACUACGUGCCAGCAGCCGCGGUAAAACGUAGGGUGCAAGCGUUGUCCGGAAUUACUGGGUGUAAAGGGAGCGCAGGCGGACCGGCAAGUUGGAAGUGAAAAUUAUGGGCUCAACCCAUUAAUGCUUUCAAAACUGCUGGCCUUGAGUAGUGCAGAGGUAGGUGGAAUUCCCGGUGUAGCGGUGGAAUGGGUAGAUAUCGGGAGGAACACCAGUCGCGAAGGCGACGUACUGGGCACCAACUGACGCUGAGGCUGGAAAGCAUGGGUAGCAAACAGGAUUAGAUACCCUGGUAGUCCAUGCCGUAAACGAUGAUUACUAGGUGUUGGAGGAUUGACCCCUUCAGUGCCGCAGUUAACACAAUAAGUAAUCCACCUGGGGAGUACGACCGCAAGGUUGAAACUCAAAGGAAUUGACGGGGGCCCGCACAAGCAGUGGAGUAUGUGGUUUAAUUCGAAGCAACGCGAAGAACCUUACCAGGUCUUGACAUCCGAUGCAUAGUGCAGAGAUGCAUGAAGUCCUUCGGGACAUCGAGACAGGUGGUGCAUGGUUGUCGUCAGCUCGUGUCGUGAGAUGUUGGGUUAAGUCCCGCAACGAGCGCAACCCUUAUUGCCAGUUACUACGCAAGAGGACUCUGGCGAGACUGCCGUUGACAAAACGGAGGAAGGUGGGGAUGACGUCAAAUCAUCAUGCCCUUUAUGACCUGGGCUACACACGUACUACAAUGGCGUUUAACAAAGAGAAGCAAGACCGCGAGGUGGAGCAAAACUCAAAAACAACGUCUCAGUUCAGAUUGCAGGCUGCAACUCGCCUGCAUGAAGUCGGAAUUGCUAGUAAUCGCGGAUCAGCAUGCCGCGGUGAAUACGUUCCCGGGCCUUGCACA
Molecule: ribosomal RNA, 1326 nt
Filed under: uncultured bacterium
Lineage: Bacteria
Description: bacterial SSU rRNA
Rfam family: Bacterial small subunit ribosomal RNA
Source: RNAcentral